RNAcentral lists this ribosomal RNA (646 nucleotides) under uncultured Bacilli bacterium. RNAcentral describes it as "bacterial SSU rRNA". It matches the Rfam family "Bacterial small subunit ribosomal RNA", at positions 66 to 699 of the family's 1533-position model. The record is from RNAcentral. Lineage: Bacteria; Bacillati; Bacillota; Bacilli.
ACCGAAUGCUUGCAUUCACCGUAAGAAGUUGAGUGGCGGACGGGUGAGUAACACGUGGGUAACCUGCCUAAAAGAAGGGGAUAACACUUGGAAACAGGUGCUAAUACCGUAUAUCUCUAAGGAUCGCAUGAUUCUUAGAUGAAAGAUGGUUCUGCUAUCGCUUUUAGAUGGACCCGCGGCGUAUUAACUAGUUGGUGGGGUAACGGCCUACCAAGGUGAUGAUACGUAGCCGAACUGAGAGGUUGAUCGGCCACAUUGGGACUGAGACACGGCCCAAACUCCUACGGGAGGCAGCAGUAGGGAAUCUUCCACAAUGGACGCAAGUCUGAUGGAGCAACGCCGCGUGAGUGAAGAAGGUCUUCGGAUCGUAAAACUCUGUUGUUAGAGAAGAACACGAGUGAGAGUAACUGUUCAUUCGAUGACGGUAUCUAACCAGCAAGUCACGGCUAACUACGUGCCAGCAGCCGCGGUAAUACGUAGGUGGCAAGCGUUGUCCGGAUUUAUUGGGCGUAAAGGGAACGCAGGCGGUCUUUUAAGUCUGAUGUGAAGCCUUCGGCUUAACCGGAGUAGUGCAUUGGAACUGGAAGACUUGAGUGCAGAAGAGGAGAGUGGACUCCAUGUGUAGCGGUGAAAUGCGUAGAUAUAU